UUAAAUUGAAGAGUUUGAUCAUGGCUCAGAUUGAACGCUGGCGGCAGGCCUAACACAUGCAAGUCGAACGGUAACAGGAAAGCAGCUUGCUGCUUUGCUGACGAGUGGCGGACGG
RNAcentral lists this ribosomal RNA (115 nucleotides) under Escherichia coli. Its description in RNAcentral is "partial 16S ribosomal RNA". It matches the Rfam family "Bacterial small subunit ribosomal RNA", at positions 1 to 105 of the family's 1533-position model. The record is from RNAcentral. Lineage: Bacteria; Pseudomonadati; Pseudomonadota; Gammaproteobacteria; Enterobacterales; Enterobacteriaceae.